AGUGAACGCUGGCGGUAGGCCUAACACAUGCAAGUCGAACGGCAGCACAGUAAGAGCUUGCUCUUACGGGUGGCGAGUGGCGGACGGGUGAGGAAUACAUCGGAAUCUACUUUUUCGUGGGGGAUAACGUAGGGAAACUUACGCUAAUACCGCAUACGACCUACGGGUGAAAGCAGGGGAUCUUCGGACCUUGCGCGAUUGAAUGAGCCGAUGUCGGAUUAGCUAGUUGGCGGGGUAAAGGCCCACCAAGGCGACGAUCUGUAGCUGGUCUGAGAGGAUGAUCAGCCACACUGGGACUGAGACACGGUCCAGACUCCUACGGGAGGCAGCAGUGGGGAAUAUUGGACAAUGGGCGCAAGCCUGAUCCAGCCAUACCGCGUGGGUGAAGAAGGCCUUCGGGUUGUAAAGCCCUUUUGUUGGGAAAGAAAAGCAGCAGGUUAAUACCCAGCUGUUCUGACGGUACCCAAAGAAUAAGCACCGGCUAACUUCGUG
RNAcentral lists this ribosomal RNA (492 nucleotides) under uncultured bacterium. RNAcentral describes it as "partial 16S ribosomal RNA". It matches the Rfam family "Bacterial small subunit ribosomal RNA", at positions 29 to 507 of the family's 1533-position model. The record is from RNAcentral.